This 907-nucleotide long non-coding RNA is filed under the name Ananas comosus (pineapple). RNAcentral describes it as "long non-coding RNA (ACOM_LNC021274)". The record is from RNAcentral. Lineage: Eukaryota; Viridiplantae; Streptophyta; Magnoliopsida; Poales; Bromeliaceae.
UCCCCUCAAGUUCUGCGCUCUGGAGUUGGUCACUAGAGAGGCAGCCCGCUUGCUGCUCGGAUAGCCGCUUGUUAUCCGCAGGCGUACUCGGGGAUAGUCCAGCUAGGCAUCCCUCGGAGGUUUUCAUGUGAGCCUUGCUUGUGAACCUUGUGUUCACUUGGAGAUUGGGUUACCUAUUGAGUCAUACUCAUUAUUAUUGUUCAUGAUAGCUUGCUUCCAUAGUUGUUGUUGUUCAUAGUAGCUUACUAGUGUUCAUAGUAGCUUACUUAUUGCUCAUGCAUUCAUGAUAUACUAUUCCUUCACCUAUGAGAUUUGAGUGGAGUAGCCCUGUACCUAGUAGGUCGAGAUGUGAGUCGGGCAAAGUGCGGGGUAGCCUUUGCCUAGGACCUUGAGAUGUGAGUCGGGCAAAGUGCGGGGUAGCCUUUGCCUAGGACCUUGAGAUGUGAGUCGGGCGAGGGGCAGGGUAGCUCUUUGCCUGGGACUCACGAGAUUGGGUCAGACCUUUGAGAUAUGAGUCGAGUGAGACAAGAGUGAGGUAGCUCUUCACCUACUAGAUUUGAGAUCUUAGGCAAGUUAGCCUAGCGGAUUGGGUAAUAACAUAAAUAGUAUAAGAGUAUUGCAUUCAUACCUUGAUUAGACAUAGUGCAUUGCAUAACUAUGUUGUUGUUGUAUUUAUUUCACUGUUGAGGCAUACUAGCAUGAUGGUAGGUUAUUGCUAGAUGAUGUUCCAUGCAUACUUUGCAUUUGAUGGCAUAGUAGAUAUAGUAGUAGUAUUUCCAUAUAUCUUUCUAUCUAUCUAUCUGUGCCAGCUUGGACCUAGUGGGAAGAUCGGCGGAGUCGGCGGCCGAACCCACUGGGAACUAUAUUUAUAUAGUUCUCACCCCGUGUGGUUUUGGGGUACAGGUAC